GCCGGGUGUGGUGGCGUAUGCCUGUAAUCCCAGCUACUCAGGAGGCUGAGGCAGGAGAAUUGCUUGAACCCAGGAGGCAGAGGUUGCAGUGAGCCGAGAUCGUGCCACUGUACUCCAGCCUGGGCGACAGAGCAAGAAUCUGUCUCUA
RNAcentral lists this signal recognition particle RNA (148 nucleotides) under Nomascus leucogenys (northern white-cheeked gibbon). RNAcentral describes it as "Metazoan signal recognition particle RNA". It matches the Rfam family "Metazoan signal recognition particle RNA". From Rfam's summary of the family: The signal recognition particle (SRP) is a universally conserved ribonucleoprotein. It is involved in the co-translational targeting of proteins to membranes. The record is from Rfam by way of RNAcentral. Lineage: Eukaryota; Metazoa; Chordata; Mammalia; Primates; Hylobatidae.